UCUGCCUGUGGCUCAGUGAAGAAGAGCAGCUCCCACCCACUGCCUUCCAUUCCAGGGAUCACUUCCUUUUUGAGUAGAACUUGGGUUUGGAGGGGCUGUUUUGCUCCUCUUAUCCCCUGAUUCCUUUCUUUCCAAGGCAAAGAGGAGAAGACAUGUGGUGGGCUCCUGCCCUGCUUCUGGCUUUCCUGCUGCCUGAUAAAAACCAGGGUGCAGCUGUUGCCCCCAAGCCCACUAUUUUUCUUCCUUCACUUGCUGAGAUAAUUCUCCAUAAGGCUGGGACAUAUUUGUGUCUUCUUGAGAAUUUUUUCCCUGAUGUCAUCAAGGUAUAUUGGAAAGAAAAGAAUGACAACAGUAUUCUGGCAUCCCAGCAGGGCGACACCAGAAAGACUGGUGACACAUACAUGACAGUCAGCUGGCUGACUGUGCCUGAAAUGUCACUCGAUAGAGAGCACCAGUGUGUCGUCAAACACGAGAGUUAUACAGGAGCUGACCGGGAGAUUCUCUUUCCUCCAGUAAAGAUAGGAGCAUUAUAUGAAACAACACCCAGGACAUAUGUGACAUCCCCAACAGCACCCAGCACCCUAGGACCUGUUGUCACUUCUAUUCCUUGUGUGAAAGAUGAUCAUGAAAACGAAUCGCUGCAGCUGCAGCUCACAAACACCUCUGCGUGCUACACUUACCUCCUCCUGCUGGUCAAGAGCAUGGUCUACUCCGCGGCCGCCGCCUUCUGUGUGAUCAGAAGGACAGGUGUCUGCUGCCCUGGGAACAGCCCCUGACAGACGGUGGCACAGAGGGGUCAUCUUCCCUUCAUUGUGUAUUGACCCCAAAAGUGUCUGCUGAGAAUCCGGCUGGGCUAACGUUUGGGAUCUGGGUUAUAAUAGUUCCCAUAUAAUGUCAGUCUUGUAUGCUCAUUUUUCAAACCUGUGGAAAACAGGAAACUUUAUCCUGCAACUACAGUGAGCUUCCAGGGUAGCCUUUAGCUCCCCUCUCCCCACAGUCUACACCAGCACCUCCCGCCAACCCAGGUCUUCACGGCCUCAGUGUAGGCUCCAGCCUCACCCCUCAGUACCCUGCGGCCAGAUCACUGCUGAAAUCCUUCCAUUUACAAUUCCUGAAGCAGCUUACUCUGCUGCUUGAAUACUGUGCUUUGCUUUUCAUUAUAGCACAAUAAAUUUACACAAUCAAAGUCCACAAGGUGCCUAUAUUAUUGUUGAAUUUUCUUUUAAUAUUUUGACAAUAGAUUUGCUAAUUAAAUAAAAGAAUGAAAAUAUUACCAACAGUUUGCUAAAGGUACAGAAUCACAGUUAGUAUCCUUUAUCAGGUCUCUUGUCUACAAAUGUGCACUUAAAAUUAGUGCUAUAUGAGCAGGGAGGAAGCCUGACAUAGUUAAGGGAAAAGAAAACACUCCCCCUAAAAUAUACAUACAUAUAUAUUUAACUUUGUAUGAUCAACUUGGCAAUAGAAUACUUCACAGGUUAACUUAAGCUUUGAACACUCAUCUAAUCUAAAGAUGGAUGUGUCUGAAAAAUAUUAACCUUUGUUACCAUCUCAUUGCCAGAAUAAGUAGACAUGAAACGAAGUGAAAAUGUGUAACAAUUUCGAUGCUUACUAUGGAAUAAACAUUAGAACAUAA
Molecule: non-coding RNA, 1633 nt
Organism: Nycticebus coucang (slow loris)
Lineage: Eukaryota; Metazoa; Chordata; Mammalia; Primates; Lorisidae
Source: the annotation of a RefSeq genome assembly